Molecule: transfer RNA, 65 nt
Filed under: Dipodomys ordii (Ord's kangaroo rat)
Lineage: Eukaryota; Metazoa; Chordata; Mammalia; Rodentia; Heteromyidae
Rfam family: tRNA
About the family: Transfer RNA (tRNA) molecules are approximately 80 nucleotides in length. Their secondary structure includes four short double-helical elements and three loops (D, anti-codon, and T loops).
Source: Rfam by way of RNAcentral
GGUGGCUCAGUGGUAAAGCACUUGCCUUGCAUGCAAGAGGCCCUAGGUUUGAUUCCUCAGUGCCA